AGCGGGAGUAGCUCAGUUGGUAGAGCGCUAGCUUCCCAAGCUAAUGGUCGCGGGUCCGAGUCCCGUUUCCCGCUU
RNAcentral lists this transfer RNA (75 nucleotides) under Fibrobacterales bacterium. Its description in RNAcentral is "tRNA-Gly". It matches the Rfam family "tRNA". From Rfam's summary of the family: Transfer RNA (tRNA) molecules are approximately 80 nucleotides in length. Lineage: Bacteria; Pseudomonadati; Fibrobacterota; Fibrobacteria; Fibrobacterales. The record is from RNAcentral.